This 69-nucleotide transfer RNA is filed under the name Ovis aries (sheep). It matches the Rfam family "tRNA". From Rfam's summary of the family: Transfer RNA (tRNA) molecules are approximately 80 nucleotides in length. Their secondary structure includes four short double-helical elements and three loops (D, anti-codon, and T loops). Further hydrogen bonds mediate the characteristic L-shaped molecular structure. tRNAs have two regions of fundamental functional importance: the anti-codon, which is responsible for specific mRNA codon recognition, and the 3' end, to which the tRNAs corresponding amino acid is attached (by aminoacyl-tRNA synthetases). tRNAs cope with the degeneracy of the genetic code in two manners: having more than one tRNA (with a specific anti-codon) for a particular amino acid; and 'wobble' base-pairing, i.e. permitting non-standard base-pairing at the 3rd anti-codon position. Lineage: Eukaryota; Metazoa; Chordata; Mammalia; Artiodactyla; Bovidae. The record is from Rfam by way of RNAcentral.
CCUGGUGGCUCAGUCAGUAAAGAAUCUGCCUGCAGUGCAGGAGACCCAGGUUCGAUCCCUGGGUCAGGA